Molecule: ribosomal RNA, 196 nt
Filed under: Chloropicon primus
Lineage: Eukaryota; Viridiplantae; Chlorophyta; Chloropicophyceae; Chloropicales; Chloropicaceae
Description: partial Bacterial large subunit ribosomal RNA
Rfam family: Bacterial large subunit ribosomal RNA
Source: RNAcentral
UCAAUCUCGAGGUGGGCUUAGAGGCAGCCACCCCGCAAAGGAAAGCGUAACAGCUCAUUGAUUUAGCCGUGGUUGACCCAAAAUGUAACGAGUCUUAAGAAAGAAACCGAAGCUAUAGAUAUAUCAUUAAUUGAUACAAAGGUUAAUAACCUUAAGUCUUUUCUAUGAUAUGUGGUAGGGGAGCGUUGUGUAUAUC